Molecule: small RNA, 109 nt
Filed under: Chlorocebus sabaeus (green monkey)
Lineage: Eukaryota; Metazoa; Chordata; Mammalia; Primates; Cercopithecidae
Description: Y RNA (ENSCSAG00000022231.1)
Source: RNAcentral
GGCUGGUUCCAAGGUAGUCAGUUAUCUCAACUGAUUGUUCACAGUCAAGUUAUAGACUGAACUCCUUGUUCUAGUCUUUGACCCCUUCUAUCACAGUUGACUGCCUAGU